This 330-nucleotide ribosomal RNA is filed under the name uncultured eukaryote. Its description in RNAcentral is "SSU rRNA". It matches the Rfam family "Eukaryotic small subunit ribosomal RNA", at positions 594 to 945 of the family's 1831-position model. The record is from RNAcentral.
AUAGCGUAUAUUAAAGUUGUUGCAGUUAAAAAGCUCGUAGUUGAAUUUCUGAUUAUGAAUGCUUCGGUUUCCGGAGUAUUUGUAGUCAUCCACAUGAGAACCUUUCUCGGCCUUCACUGGUCGGUUGGGGGAUCAUGUACUUUACUUUGAAAAAAUCAGAGUGUUUCAGGCAGGCGUUUGCAUGAAUACACAAGCAUGGAAUAAUGGAAUAGGACUAGGGUCCAUUUUAUUGGUUAUUGGACCAUAGUAAUGAUUAAUAGGGACAGUUGGGGGCAUUAGUAUUUAAUUGUCAGAGGUGAAAUUCUUGGAUUUAUUAAAGACUAACUUAUG